GCCGGGAUUGCCAGGACCCGUCAUGGCGGCCCGACAGCGUCACCCCGCCUGUGAACGGCCGGGAUUGCCAGGACCCGUCAUGGCGGCCGGACAGCGUCACCCCGCAUGGGAAGCGGCAGCCGCCCCCCAGCUCCCCACGCCUGCCCAGCUCUGGGCCCCAUGGAGCUGCUCCAGCGACACCUGCCCGGGCUGCACCGCGUCCUGCGGGGGGCACUGGAUUACGUCUCCAGCUUCUCCACCUACCUCUUCGGGGACCAGGCACACCCAGGCGCAGAGGAUCAUGGGAAAAGCGGGGAGACUGACUCCCCCAACCACCGCAAGGGGGUGUCAACAGGAGGAUAUGGGGAAAGAGACCCAGAGCAUUAUGGGGAGGAGGCGCUGAGGAGGCAGCAUGAGGACGCUGGAUACCCGGCCCUGCAGGUACGUUGGGGGCAGGUGCCUG
This 442-nucleotide long non-coding RNA is filed under the name Gopherus evgoodei (Goodes thornscrub tortoise). RNAcentral's name for it is "lncRNA (ENSGEVG00005014686.1)". The record is from RNAcentral. Lineage: Eukaryota; Metazoa; Chordata; Testudines; Testudinidae.